AGGAUAAUAGUUAAACUUUAUAACAUUUAAUUUGCACUUAAAAUUUAUUGAAUUUCAAUUUAUCUU
This 66-nucleotide transfer RNA is filed under the name Curculionoidea sp. 2 KM-2017. Its description in RNAcentral is "tRNA-Ala". Lineage: Eukaryota; Metazoa; Arthropoda; Insecta; Coleoptera. The record is from RNAcentral.